GUCACAUUGUAAACAGAAAAAUUGGAUCUUUGCUGCAUCAGAAACACUGGAUGUCCUUCCUGCUGGAAAACAUUAAUUUGGAUGUGGACUACACCUCCCCACAAAGGCUCAUGCUUUAAGGACUUGGUCCUUGACUGGUGAUGUUAUUGGGAGGGUGGUAGAAACUUCAGGAAGCAAGGCCAGAUUGGAGGAAGUAGGUCAAUGGAGUGUGUUCUUGAAAGAUAGGGAUGGGGACCCUAGAUGAUGAUGGUGAUGAUGAUUCCUCCUCUCCCUCCUCCUCUCUCCCCCUCCUCCUGUUCCUCUUUCUCCUGCUUUUGGUGCUUCUGCUUACUCCCCAUCUCUCAUUCCCUCCUCCUUCCUGGAUACCAUGAGGAGAGCAGCUAGGCUCUAUCAAACACUCCCCACCAUGAUAUAUUGCCUCAGUGUAGAAAGAAAGAUGCUAAGUGACCAUGGGCUGAAACUAGGGACUGUCAUAAUUCUUUCUUUUUAAGGUUGCUUGUCCUGGACAUUUUGUUACAGCAACAGAAGACUAACAGAAUCCUCCCCAUCUCCUUAUUUGUUUUGUUUUAUAUGUAACAAUACAAAGAAGAAUUUAUUGGCAGGGUAUAACCUUUAUGAAUAGCAUCCUAGAAAGUGUGUUUGUGUGUGAAAUGCCGCAUUUUAUCAACUCUACUAAGAGAAAGCGUGAGUUCUUUCUCUAUUCUACAUGAUUGAAAGGUAUUUGGAAAUUAUUAUCAUAUACAGAUAGUUGAAAAACAAAGGACAAAAUAUUGAACAGAGAUUGUAAAUCAGAAAGUAUUUUUCUAGAUUUUUGAUGCUUGUGGUAUGUUAGUUGUUUUAAUGCAUAAUUUGUUGUGUCUCUUUUUCAGAGAAUCAUUCACUUUGUGUUCUAUUCAUUGCAGGUCAUAAAGAAUUAACCCCUGGUUUACACCACAGUGUUUGUCAACCCCUUAAAGGGGCCACACACAUUGUGACAGGGUGGUAUUCCAGAUCUGUGUUCAGGGAAAGAAAGAUGUGUGGUUUGUCGCAAGAGGUUUCACCCAGGGCAAAGGCGCAAACAAUAGAGGUCACAUGGUAGAGAAAGUCAUGGGCCAACACGGAGAGGACAGCUUGCAGAGCAGACUUCCUCCUCAAUGGUGGAUAAUGACUAAGUCCCCCCAUUACCACUCUAUCCCAAAGAACAAAACAAACAUAGAAACGAAACUUCUUGAGUUGCUUUAAAUGUGCAUGUAUAGGAGCUACUUUGGCCUGGUAAAGUUUCCACUAGUGGGAAUUCAUUGGGUCUUUGCUUGUUUUAACCUUUCAAAACAACCAUUUAUUGUAUAGGUAAGAUGGGCAUGUGUUCCUAAUAUUUAAGUUUUUUUUUUCAGAAAUCCACAAAGGAUAAUCUCUAUUUCUCUGCUGCAUCCUUUCCAGAUUUUGUUUCAGUGACACAGAGAGAGAACACACACUGAAGUAAGGUUUGGGGAACUGAAUCUGGAGAGACUGGGGAGACGAGAGAAGUCUACCAUGGGAGAUAGAUUAUCCGUCCACAUAGGCAUUCCCUCAUUAGGGGCUCCCUUCCCACCUGGAGCCCUGGCUAAAAGUCAUCAUGAUUCUCUGUGCUGGAACCUUGCCUUCUUUUUAUUGUCCUGGAAGUCCCGGCAGGCAUUCCUCAAGAGUGCUGAUUAGGACCCGGGAUGCAGCUGCUUCACUGGGUGUCUGUUCUUUUCACCUGACACAGUCCAAGGCCUGCACCUCCCGGGAACUAAAGGGUGCACUGCCCAGAGCAGUUACUCUACCCAGCUUACUCUCUUUCCUCCCUGUCUGUGUUAAACUCCUGACUUAGCUGUCUCCCAUUUGUAGUCCCUACCUACCCCCAGCCUUCCUGGAUCCAUUCUAACUCAUCCCUAAGGCAUUGGCUUAUUAUUUACCCAUCUUGCCAUCUCUGCUGGCAAGCAAUAUCCCAAACAGUGUGCUCAGUACACUGACACAGGGCUAGAAGAGGAGCCAGGCACAGAUCAUUUGUUUGUGUUCCACAGAGAGCACAGCCUCCGCUCCCUCCCAAAGGCGCCCUCAGAACUUACAGUCUGUCUAGUGCAACUGCUGAAUUGUGAAAUGACAGACCACAUGAGUGCCUGCAUGAACAGGACGCUAAAGAAGCCAGAAGUAACAGCAGCUAGACACCAUGAAGAAUUAGCUUUCGGCAGAGUAUGGGGCAUUCCCCAACUAUCCACUGAAAUGAAGGCCACAGAAGAAGCCCUGCUGUGUUCUCUUGUAUUUCUGCUUAUGCCAGAUGGAUCAACCAAGACAGGAGCUGGUUUUUCUCUCUCAAGAUCUUCCUGAAGGCCAGAGGGUCUUUCGCUGAACCUGAAGAUCACCAGCUAGGCCCGCUGGUCACCGAGCUUCAGGAUUACUGGGAUGCCAUGCGAGAGCUUCUGUCUCCACGGCUGUGCUGCCAUGACGACUACACCCUUGGCCAGUGAACCAAAAUAAAUCCUUUCUUCUUCAA
Mesocricetus auratus (golden hamster) is the source of this 2491-nucleotide long non-coding RNA. RefSeq lists it as uncharacterized. The record is from RefSeq and is a predicted model, not a curated record. The transcript is spliced from 4 exons. Lineage: Eukaryota; Metazoa; Chordata; Mammalia; Rodentia; Cricetidae.